GACAUUUAACCAACUGCGCCACCCAGGCACCCCAGUGAGAGCCAAAUUUUUAAGGAGUAAAUAGUUGAAUAGUUUAGGAUUUCUUUCUUUAGCCCUAGAAUGGAAAUCUGAUAAAAACGAUAGUGACUUCUGAGUACUUGAAACGUAACAAUAAAACCUAAAAUAUAAUUUAAAUGAGAUUGUGCAAAACCUCCAGGAUGUAGAAGACCAGAUAUCCUUCCGUCUUGGGCCUCACUCUGUAGGGAGUUGGGAAGGGGUGUCUGUGCAGUUUGGAACAGUAGCAUUUGAGGUCAGUGUUGCUUUUCCACCUUUUCAGUCCAGCACAAGAAUGCAGGAUGCUUUUCCAGCCUUGGAAUAUCUGUAAACCAGUCUGUGAGGAAUGAAUAAAAGCAUAAGAAAGGAAGGAGUAGGGAAGCUAAUCAAAGGUUUUUUGAGUUUUUCACAAACACAUUUCUCUUUCUUUUCCCUAGUGGUGAUUCAGUUCUGGGAUCAUCAUGUGACUCUGUUCUGUCAUUGCCAGUUCUGCAGAAAACUUCCACCUUCAAGCACAAGAAUCCCUGGAGGGCAGAUUUAUUCACCUACAGUUUCCAGAAGCCAUCUGAUUAUAAUCACCAUGGAUGAUGGGACUCAGGCUUUGGGAAUUUGAGUAACUUGACUGAGGCCCAGAAGCUGCUCCUGAUUGG
Non-coding RNA from Leptonychotes weddellii (Weddell seal), 683 nucleotides. The record is from RefSeq and is a predicted model, not a curated record. NCBI's taxonomy places the organism in Eukaryota, Metazoa, Chordata, Mammalia, Carnivora, Phocidae.